RNAcentral lists this ribosomal RNA (301 nucleotides) under uncultured bacterium. Its description in RNAcentral is "partial 16S ribosomal RNA". It matches the Rfam family "Bacterial small subunit ribosomal RNA", at positions 509 to 807 of the family's 1533-position model. The record is from RNAcentral.
CAGUAGCCACGGUAAUACGUAGGGUGCGAGCGUUAAUCGGAAUUACUGGGCGUAAAGCGUGCGCAGGCGGUUCGUUAAGACAGAUGUGAAAUCCCCGGGCUUAACCUGGGAACUGCAUUUGUGACUGGCGAGCUAGAGUAUGGCAGAGGGGGGUAGAAUUCCACGUGUAGCAGUGAAAUGCGUAGAGAUGUGGAGGAAUACCGAUGGCGAAGGCAGCCCCCUGGGCCAAUACUGACGCUCAUGCACGAAAGCGUGGGGAGCAAACAGGAUUAGAUACCCGAGUAGUCCCUGUCUCUUAUAC